This 69-nucleotide transfer RNA is filed under the name Danio margaritatus (celestial pearl danio). RNAcentral describes it as "tRNA-Asp". It matches the Rfam family "tRNA". Rfam says of the family: Transfer RNA (tRNA) molecules are approximately 80 nucleotides in length. Lineage: Eukaryota; Metazoa; Chordata; Actinopteri; Cypriniformes; Danionidae. The record is from RNAcentral.
AAGAUAUUAGUAAAAACAUAACGCCACUUUGUCAAGGUGAAAUUACAAGUGAAACUCUUGUAUAUCUUA